GACCAGACUCCUACGGGAGGCAGCAGUGGGGAAUAUUGCACAAUGGGGGAAACCCUGAUGCAGCGACGCCGCGUGGGUGAAGGAGCGUUUCGGCGCGUAAAGCCCUAUCGGCAGGGAAGAAGGAGGACGGUACCUGACUAAGAAGCCCCGGCUAACUACGUGCCAGCAGCCGCGGUAAUACGUAGGGGGCAAGCGUUAUCCGGAUUCACUGGGUGUAAAGGGGGCGUAGACGGCGACGCAAGUCUGGAGUGAAGGCCCGGGGCCCAACCCCGGGACUGCUCUGGAAACUGCGGCGCUGGAGUACGGGAGGGGCAGGCGGAAUUCCUGGUGUAGCGGUGAAAUGCGUAGAUACCAGGAGGAACACCGGUGGCGAAGGCGGCCUGCUGGACUGCGACUGACGUUGAGGCCCGAAAGCGUGGGGAGCAAACAGGAUUAGAUACCCGAGUAC
Molecule: ribosomal RNA, 448 nt
Filed under: uncultured bacterium
Lineage: Bacteria
Description: partial 16S ribosomal RNA
Rfam family: Bacterial small subunit ribosomal RNA
Source: RNAcentral